GGGUAGUAGAACAAUGGGAUUAUGCUGUCACAAAAACCAAAGAAAAAACAUAAUUUCUUAAAUCAUGGUCUGUCACUGAAUCUGGUUAUAAAACCUUAUCUUGCACUAGAAGGAUCUGUAGCUUUUCCAGCUGAGAAUGGGGUUCAGGAUACCGAAUCAACACAAGAAAAGAGAGAAACUGGGGAUGAAGAAAACUCAGCUAAAUUUCCUGUAGGAAGGAGAGAUUUUGACACACUCAGCUGUAUGCUGGGAAGAGUCUACCAAUCUUGCUGGCAAGUCUGAUUCUUUUUUUGAUAUGGACCUGUUGGUCUAUGUCAUCUUUUCAGAAGAAAAGCAUUUAAUUGCCAAUGGGAGGAGAAGCCCAUAAUGUUACUGUAACUUGGGUAUUAUGUUAAAUGUCUGUUUUAAAAGAAAGUAGCGUUAAGAUAGAUCAGUAACCAAAAUCAUAGGCUUUUUCUGUGCAUUUAACUUUGUGAAAAUUCUGUAUAAUUAUGACUUACUAGUAUUUUUGAACAAUGCUUAACAUACUAACCUUACAUACACUCUAGACCAAAAUAAGGCAUCAUAAUUUACACCUUAAUCUCAAAAAUUAAGCAUGUCUUUGGUGAAUGGUUUUAUAUAUACAUAAACCUAAAGCAUAUAAGACAAAAAUUUAUGUUUGGAGCCUGUGUUCUGUAAAGAGAAGGUUGAUUUGUCUUUUAGCUAUCGUAUUUGGAGUGGAACUAUAAUACAAAUGUAUAAUAUUCCUUUUUUUUUUUUUUUUUUUGAGAUGGAGUCUCACUCUGUUGCCCAGGCUGGAGUGCAAUGGCACGAUCUCGGCUCACUGAAACCUCUGCCUCCCGGGUUCAAGCAAUUUCUUGCCUCAGCCUCAUGAAUAGCUGGGAUUACAGGUGCCCACCACCAUGCCUGGCUAGUUUUUGUAUUUUUAGUAGAGGCAAGGUUUCACCAUCUUGGUCAAGUUGGUCUGGAACUCCUGACCUCGUGAUCCACCUGCCUCGGCUUCCCAAAGUGCUGGGAUUACAGGCGUGCACCACUGAGUCCAGCCUAUAUUCUUGUUUAUCAGUUCAAAAAUGUUCUGCUCUGUUUUUGACUCUUUAAAAAUAACUUAGAUUCAAAUUUAUAGUAGAAGAAAAAAAAUCUUUCAGAUAAGAGGUGUUCUCCAGAAUGGAGGAACUACUUGGCAUGUAAGAAAUAGCGUCAGUGUCCUAAUGCAUAUUGUGACUGUUUGCAUAUACUUCUGUUUGUAAAAAUAUCAGUUUUACUUUUCAGAGGAUUUGUAAGAAACAUUUAAAUUUUCAUUGAAAUAAAUGACAAGUCAUACUGCCACUUAAAAAAAAAAAGACCUUUGUCAAGGAGAGUGCAGUCAACCAGUAAAUUGCAGAUUCUCAGAAUGUUUAUUGACGUACUGAUUAUUCAUUCUGUUAUACUCUAACAUCUGUAUAUUUUUACCAGUAUUCUCAGACCACUUCUACCAAAACAUAAAUCUGUGAUUGUGAUCUCUGAAAGUCAGUCCUUUUAUCUACUCAAUAACUGAUCUGAUAAUGUCAACUUUUGAAAACAGAUAGUUAUGACUCAAGGCUUUGAGAAUGUAAAGAGACCACCUUCACUUGUUGAGAAAUGGUACGAUUUCACGUUAUCAGUGCAGUUCCGUUCUCGGGGGAAAGCCCAUCCGUACUACCAGGAGACUGGAUCCGCAAAGUAGACACUUGGUCUCAUGAAGCCACUGCUGGGCUCCAGAGAGAAGGGAAAACUAAGAGGUUUUAAAACCCCUACCCUCCUUGGUUUACCUCCAUCAUUAAAAAACAACAAUGACAACGACAACAAAAAACAAAACUAAAACGACUUAUUAUUUAUUAAUUAUGUUGUGGCAGACAAUAUGCUGAACAUUAGACAUAAUUAAAUCUUUUUAAAAAUUGA
Homo sapiens (human) is the source of this 1917-nucleotide long non-coding RNA. NCBI's taxonomy places the organism in Eukaryota, Metazoa, Chordata, Mammalia, Primates, Hominidae. The record is from Ensembl.